RNAcentral lists this ribosomal RNA (347 nucleotides) under uncultured organism. RNAcentral describes it as "eukaryotic LSU rRNA". The stretch from base 1 to 108 matches the Rfam family "5.8S ribosomal RNA", at positions 47 to 154 of the family's 154-position model. The record is from RNAcentral.
AGCGAAAUGCGAUAAGUAGUGUGAAUGCCAGAAUUCAGUGAAUCAUCGAAUCUUUGAACGCACAUUGCGCCCCUUGGUAUUCCAUGGGGCAUGCCUGUUCGAGCGUCUUUUACACCCUCAAGCUUUGCUUGGUGUUGGGCGUCUGUCCUCCCUUUUUCUCUUCGGUGGACUCGCCUCAAAGGUAUUGGCAGCGGUCCUAUCGGGCCUCCUAAUCGCGCAGCACUGUUCGCGCAUCCUGGAGCCUGUACGGAUUUUUUUCAGCUAUCCAUCAAGCCCAAAUUUCUUCGUUAGACCUCGAAUCAGGUAGGGAUACCCGCUGAACUUAAGCAUAUCAAUAAGCGGAGGAC